UACGUAGGGUGCAGGCGUUAAUCGGAAUUACUGGGCGUAAAGCGUGCGCAGGCGGUGCUGUAAGACAGGUGUGAAAUCCCCGGGCUUAACCUGGGAACUGCAUUUGUGACUGCAUCGCUGGAGUGCGGCAGAGGGGGAUGGAAUUCCGCGUGUAGCAGUGAAAUGCGUAGAUAUGCGGAGGAACACCGAUGGCGAAGGCAAUCCCCUGGGCCUGCACUGACGCUCAUGCACGAAAGCGUGGGGAGCAAACAGG
Molecule: ribosomal RNA, 253 nt
Filed under: uncultured bacterium
Lineage: Bacteria
Description: partial 16S ribosomal RNA
Rfam family: Bacterial small subunit ribosomal RNA
Source: RNAcentral